Long non-coding RNA from Hippocampus comes (tiger tail seahorse), 956 nucleotides. RefSeq lists it as uncharacterized. The transcript has 4 exons. Lineage: Eukaryota; Metazoa; Chordata; Actinopteri; Syngnathiformes; Syngnathidae. The record is from RefSeq and is a predicted model, not a curated record.
UUAGCGCCCUCUCUUGGUAAAAAGUUGACACUGCAAUCAGUGAGAUUUCGUAAGGUGUCGCCUCAGUGUUGUUAUGUUGGUCAUAGUUUUUUUACACUUGUUAAAGAUUUUACUUCUUGAUCCAUACCACUCAUUUUAACAUUAGGAUUUAGGAUCUAGCAUACCCAUUAGGAUGUCAGAGUUCGUGACUGCGAUUUGAACCGUCGUGCCCCUGUGUCAAACGCAGCAAACCACCGGAUUGCUCAGCAGCAAGGCUCUUGUGUGAUCACACGUGAUCUCACAAAAUUGAGACCAGCAGAACGUAGCGGAUAUGCACACGUGUUUACCGAGUGUGUCCAAAGCCAAAGCGUUGUGAAAUGGAAAAUGCUUCUUGGCAUUUGGGGAAUACACUUUUAUACAAUUGGCCCCAGUGUAAGCUUUUCAACCCUGGCUCCCCCAAAGCCUUCUGACUGCGCAGCGCCGGAUCAGUAACUUGUGUAAGACAAAUAGAGACAAUUUUUCCAGAUGGCCUCACUUCCUCUGCAUCCCACUGUUCCCCACUUGGAACUUCCCAGAGCACACAUUUGCAUCAGGUCACCGCUCGCUUCCACGAGUGGUAUAAUCCUGCCGAGCUUGCCACCCUGAAAAUGCUCUCUUUGCAAGUACAGCGGGAGGUCGAUCACAAUCCGUUCCGGCGCGCCGGUCAACCUUUUCAAUUUGUUCACGUUUUAAAACCAUUCGUCCCACAGGGCGGGGGGGGGAAUUUAGCACUUUAGCUGUUCCAGGAUCAAAUUGUUGACAUUGUAAAGACAUUAUUAACUGUACAGGCAGUGUUUUAAACCACAUUUUUAAACUGUUGUGGAAUAAUUGUCAUCCCUCAGAGAUGACUGUGCUGAGUUUUUGAAGUUUCCAAGAUGAGCUGUGAUUGGUUGUGACCUGAUUUCGAGCAACUGUGAUGUCAUUGCUCAAUUCAUAUU